Molecule: non-coding RNA, 80 nt
Organism: Puccinia sorghi
Lineage: Eukaryota; Fungi; Basidiomycota; Pucciniomycetes; Pucciniales; Pucciniaceae
Source: the annotation of a GenBank genome assembly
UUCUAAAUUCCAAACUGUGUUUGGUGAUGAAAAAUGAUGACAGAUGAGUACUCAUCACCAAACAAAGUUUGGAAUUUAGA